CAAUAGCGUAUAUUUAAGUUGUUGUAGUUAAAAAGCUCGUAGUUGGAUUUCGGAUGGGAUUUGCCGGUCCGUCGUUACGAUGUGCACUGGCCAGUCCUAUCUUGUUGUCGGGGACUAGCUCCUUGGAUUCACUUCCUGGGACUAGGAGCUGACGAGGUUACUUUGAGUAAAUUAGAGUGUUCAAAGCAAGCCUACGCUCUGAAUACAUUAGCAUGGAAUAACACGAUAGGACUCUGGCUUAUCUUGUUGGUCUGUGAGACCAGAGUAAUGAUUAAGAGGGACAGUCGGGGACAUUCGUAUUUCAUUGUCAGAGGUGAAAUUCUUGGAUUUAUGAAAGACGAACUUCUGCGAAAGCAUUUGUCAAGGAUGUUUUCAUUAA
Molecule: ribosomal RNA, 379 nt
Filed under: uncultured eukaryote
Lineage: Eukaryota
Description: partial 18S ribosomal RNA
Rfam family: Eukaryotic small subunit ribosomal RNA
Source: RNAcentral